Molecule: ribosomal RNA, 256 nt
Filed under: uncultured bacterium
Lineage: Bacteria
Description: partial 16S ribosomal RNA
Rfam family: Bacterial small subunit ribosomal RNA
Source: RNAcentral
UACGAAGGGGGGCUAGCGUUGUUCGGAAUUACUGGGCGUAAAGCGUGCGCAGGCGGUUCGUUGUGUCGGCGGUGAAAGCCCCGGGCUUAACCUGGGAAUGGCCGUCGAAACUGGCGAACUGGAGUGUGGCAGAGGGGGGGUGGAAUUCCGCGUGUAGCAGUGAAAUGCGUAGAGAUGCGGAGGAACACCGAUGGCGAAGGCAGCCCCCCUGGGCCUGCACUGACGCUCAUGCACGAAAGCGUGGGGAGCAAACAGG